GAUGAACGCUGGCGGCGUGCCUAAUACAUGCAAGUCGAGCGAACAGAUGAGGAGCUUGCUCCUCUGACGUUAGCGGCGGACGGGUGAGUAACACGUGGAUAACCUACCUAUCAGACUGGGAUAACUUCGGGAAACCGGAGCUAAUACCGGAUAAUAUAUUGAACCGCAUGGUUCAAUAGUGAAAGACGGUUUUGCUGUCACUUAUAGAUGGAUCCGCGCCGCAUUAGCUAGUUGGUAAGGUAACGGCUUACCAAGGCAACGAUGCGUAGCCGACCUGAGAGGGUGAUCGGCCACACUGGAACUGAGACACGGUCCAGACUCCUACGGGAGGCAGCAGUAGGGAAUCUUCCGCAAUGGGCGAAAGCCUGACGGAGCAACGCCGCGUGAGUGAUGAAGGUCUUCGGAUCGUAAAACUCUGUUAUGAGGGAAGAACAAAUGUGGAAGUAACUAUGCACGUCGUGACGGUACCUAAUCAGAAAGCCACGGCUAACUACGUG
RNAcentral lists this ribosomal RNA (497 nucleotides) under uncultured bacterium. RNAcentral's name for it is "partial 16S ribosomal RNA". It matches the Rfam family "Bacterial small subunit ribosomal RNA", at positions 28 to 507 of the family's 1533-position model. The record is from RNAcentral.